Molecule: long non-coding RNA, 1509 nt
Organism: Varroa destructor (honeybee mite)
Lineage: Eukaryota; Metazoa; Arthropoda; Arachnida; Mesostigmata; Varroidae
Source: RefSeq, a predicted model, not a curated record
UGUUUGCACUUGGAUCGAGCCUGCUACGUUUACGGGACUUACGAGUUCCUGCAUAUAGUCUGGCGUGUGAUGCAAGCCACGCUGUGCAAGUAGAUAUUUCGAGUUUUGCGUUUAGAGUCUUGCCGUUAAGCAUUACUCCACGAGGCUGCGUCUCGAUUCGAAACGAAGUUCUUCUACGGUCUCGCCGGUUUCAUACGUAGAUCACCUCAGAUGUCUUCAACUUUGUUAGAUACACAACGGAUAUAGUAGCGUGAAACAGUGCGGUGGCCUGCAAUCAAGUGGAGCUGCUCUAUCCGGAUCUGUAGUGAAAAUCAGCAGAAAUGUCAAAAGCUAUAAUCUACCAUAAGAUCCCUGUUGACCUUCUCAUCAUCAUCGUAUUAUUCAGUCACUCAAUAGUAUCCAAGUAUGUGCUACCUGCGUCUGUAGCAGAAACCGAUUCUGCGGCGAAUUCUCGUGUUGGACCUGCUGCCGAUGCAGAUUUAGGUAUGAGGAGAACUGACGCUAUAUUACCCGUUAUGCACACCGACGGCUCUACUUCAUCAGAGGGAACAGUCGCCGGAGUCGUUCAACGUUUGCGGACGCAUAUGGACAAGACACAGCUGACCCAAAUCGGCGCUCAAGUCGAAGCCACAAUCAAGCAGGGCGCUGAAGAAGCUAACCAAAGAAUUCGAGAAGGCUUCCGGGGCAUCAAAGAAAAAAUUACUGAAGUACUCAACUCGUCGAGUCGAUAAUAAGGAAUAUAAAAAUAAUACAUUUUGCUUAUAAAUGCAGUUUUCGCAAUUGAAAUCAAUGAAGCUUUUAAAUUUUCGUUGGUGUUAUCAUGGCUGCUUUGAAGACAAUUAAAAUCAUUUGUCUUCUCCACGCAGCUCCGUUCCUUUGAACUAUUAAGCUCUAGUAAAAGCCAGUUGCGUCAUAUCCGUCAAUCAUGUUCACGAAAGUAGCCCUACUGCUAGAUUAUCAAUUGUUUUUUUCGGCAUCAAAUACGUUAAGUGUAUGAGUCCGUCAAAUAAACACUGUAAUGUUUUGCCUUGGAGACUAAUUUAUUUCAACACUACCAGGACAAACACUCUCCGGUUAGGAACUAAAGUUAAACACGAAUAAGUUGAAAAACAACCGUGUUAGAUAGAGAGGAACCUGUUUUUGAACAAGAGUACUUAGUAAUUAAUAUAAAUAAAACGUCAACGAUGGAGGUUCGCUGUUUUCUACACAGGGACUUGAAUGUUUUCGCUGAAUUUUAGCGGCUUAUGUUAAACAGUUUCUGAUAUAAGCUAUUCAAAAGCGUUCCGAAGUAUUUGUCAACUAUUAAUAAUACAGUAUACAAUAAAAUAAUACAAAUAACUACUAACAAUAUUGGUAGCAAACAAUUUGGCUCGUCGUUUUCGGUUUUGGUGCGUCGAGUGGGUCCUUCCGCCAGGAUGAAAUUUUUCCCCUGUCUAAUGCUGCGCAUAUUAAUUAAUUCGACCACUCUGAAAAUGGUUCAAUAUAAAAACGGGAUAAUUUCCAAGCCAU